ACAGCAGCCGCCACGGUAAUACAGAGGGUGCGAGCGUUAAUCGGAUUUACUGGGCGUAAAGCGUGCGUAGGCGGCUUCUUAAGUCGGAUGUGAAAUCCCUGAGCUUAACUUAGGAAUUGCAUUCGAUACUGGGAAGCUAGAGUAUGGGAGAGGAUGGUAGAAUUCCAGGUGUAGCGGUGAAAUGCGUAGAGAUCUGGAGGAAUACCGAUGGCGAAGGCAGCCAUCUGGCCUAAUACUGACGCUGAGGUACGAAAGCAUGGGGAGCAAACAGGAUUAGAGACCCCCGUAGUCCCUGUCUCUUAUAC
RNAcentral lists this ribosomal RNA (305 nucleotides) under uncultured bacterium. Its description in RNAcentral is "partial 16S ribosomal RNA". It matches the Rfam family "Bacterial small subunit ribosomal RNA", at positions 508 to 807 of the family's 1533-position model. The record is from RNAcentral.